GAUGAAGAACGUAGCGAAAUGCGAUACGUAAUGUGAAUUGCAAAUUCAGUGAAUCAUCGAGUCUUUGAACGCACAUUGCGCCCCCUGGUAUUCCGGGGGGCAUGCCUGUCCGAGCGUCAUUGCUGCCCUCAAGCACGGCUUGUGUGUUGGGCCCCGUCCUCCGAUCCCGGGGGACGGGCCCGAAAGGCAGCGGCGGCACCGCGUCCGGUCCUUGAGCGUAUGGGGCUUUGUCACCCGCUCUGUAGGCCCGGCCGGCGCUUGCCGAUCAACCCAAAUUUUUAUCCAGGUUGACCUCGGAUCAGGUAGGGAUACCCGCUGAACUUAAGCAUAUCAAUAAGCGGAGGA
This 345-nucleotide unclassified non-coding RNA is filed under the name soil metagenome. RNAcentral describes it as "partial contains 5.8S ribosomal RNA, internal transcribed spacer 2, and large subunit ribosomal RNA". The stretch from base 1 to 119 matches the Rfam family "5.8S ribosomal RNA", at positions 35 to 154 of the family's 154-position model. The record is from RNAcentral.